UACGUAGGGGGCAAGCGUUGUCCGGAUUUAUUGGGCGUAAAGAGCGUGUAGGCGGCCAGACAGGUCCGUUGUGAAAACUUGAGGCUCAACCUCGAGACGCCGAUGGAAACCGUCUGGCUAGAGUCCGGAAGAGGAGAGUGGAAUUCCUGGUGUAGCGGUGAAAUGCGCAGAUAUCGGGAGGAACACCAAUGGCGAAGGCAGCUCGCUGGGACGUUACUGACGCUGAGACGCGAAAGCGUGGGGAGCAAACAGG
This 253-nucleotide ribosomal RNA is filed under the name uncultured bacterium. Its description in RNAcentral is "partial 16S ribosomal RNA". It matches the Rfam family "Bacterial small subunit ribosomal RNA", at positions 524 to 776 of the family's 1533-position model. The record is from RNAcentral.